Molecule: transfer RNA, 71 nt
Filed under: Bos taurus (domestic cattle)
Lineage: Eukaryota; Metazoa; Chordata; Mammalia; Artiodactyla; Bovidae
Also listed under: 3 other names
Rfam family: tRNA
About the family: Transfer RNA (tRNA) molecules are approximately 80 nucleotides in length.
Source: Rfam by way of RNAcentral
UCUCUGGUGGCUCAACAGUAAAGAAUCUGCCUGCAAUGCAGGAGAUGCAGGUUCGAUUCCUGGGUGGGGAA